This 253-nucleotide ribosomal RNA is filed under the name uncultured bacterium. RNAcentral's name for it is "partial 16S ribosomal RNA". It matches the Rfam family "Bacterial small subunit ribosomal RNA", at positions 524 to 776 of the family's 1533-position model. The record is from RNAcentral.
UACGUAGGGUGCAAGCGUUAAUCGGAAUUACUGGGCGUAAAGCGUGCGCAGGCGGUUAUGUAAGACAGAUGUGAAAUCCCCCGGGCUCAACCUGGGAACUGCAUUUGUGACUGCAUAGCUAGAGUACGGUAGAGGGGAUGGAAUUCCGCGUGUAGCAGUGAAAUGCGUAGAUAUGCGGAGGAACACCGAUGGCGAAGGCAAUCCCCUGGACCUGUACUGACGCUCAUGCACGAAAGCGUGGGGAGCAAACAGG